AACGAACGCUGGCGGCAUGCCUAACACAUGCAAGUCGAACGAAGCCUUCGGGCUUAGUGGCGCACGGGUGCGUAACACGUGGGAAUCUGCCCUUCGGUUCGGAAUAACAGUUAGAAAUGACUGCUAAUACCGGAUGAUGACGUAAGUCCAAAGAUUUAUCGCCGAAGGAUGAGCCCGCGUAGGAUUAGGUAGUUGGUAGGGUAAUGGCCUACCAAGCCGACGAUCCUUAGCUGGUCUGAGAGGAUGAUCAGCCACACUGGGACUGAGACACGGCCCAGACUCCUACGGGAGGCAGCAGUGGGGAAUAUUGGACAAUGGGCGAAAGCCUGAUCCAGCAAUGCCGCGUGAGUGAAGAAGGCCCUAGGGUUGUAAAGCACUUUCAAUUGGGAGGAAAACCUAGCCGGUCAAUACCCGGCAGCUUGACAUUACCUUUAGAAGAAGCACGGCUAACUCCGUGCCAGCAGCCGCGGUAAU
This 474-nucleotide ribosomal RNA is filed under the name uncultured bacterium. RNAcentral describes it as "bacterial SSU rRNA". It matches the Rfam family "Bacterial small subunit ribosomal RNA", at positions 29 to 524 of the family's 1533-position model. The record is from RNAcentral.